CGUUCUUAAAAAUAGUUUUUUACCCACCCCUAAAGACUCUUUUUGCAGUAGUGUCUCCUCCCUGAGGGAACCAGCAGCUUACAGUUCAUGGUUGCAAUAAGCUUAGGUCAACUGUCAUGUCUCCUAAAGGAGUUUCUUUUGAUCCAAGGUUUAAGCUUGCAUUCAUCGACUUCCAUCUGAAACAAGCAUUUGGGAGUGUAGCUGAGAAUUUGCAGAUUAAUCAUCUUCAUUGUUGCAGUCUCAAAAAUCAGCUUCUGAAGAUCACCCUUUCCACAGAGGGAUAGUGAAAGCAGUAGGAAUUUGCGUUAAAAAAAAUAGUAGGAACAAUGUUGUCAUUUUCUUUCGUGGAGCAAGAUGACCCAUUGAGGCUAUCAGGGAAAACACCUAAUGAAACAAGGGUAGAACUACUCUGGUGGCCUUUGGGUUCUUGCUUGGACUGGGCGAGACCAAAUAAUGUUGCUCUAUGUACUAGUACUGUAUGCUUCGAUUAUCUUGUUUGACUUUGCUUCUAUAAAAUUAGAUAUAGGGAAUUUGGCUAACAUAUCUCUAUUUGGAUGUGCUGCAAGUCUGCUACUGAGCACCUAUGCCGUUGUUUGCAUAUAGUUUUCCAAGAUCUCGUAUCACUGUUUAA
Long non-coding RNA from Panicum virgatum (switchgrass), 631 nucleotides. RefSeq lists it as uncharacterized. The transcript has 2 exons. Lineage: Eukaryota; Viridiplantae; Streptophyta; Magnoliopsida; Poales; Poaceae. The record is from RefSeq and is a predicted model, not a curated record.